Molecule: long non-coding RNA, 320 nt
Organism: Mangifera indica (mango)
Lineage: Eukaryota; Viridiplantae; Streptophyta; Magnoliopsida; Sapindales; Anacardiaceae
Exons: 4
Source: RefSeq, a predicted model, not a curated record
UCCAAAUUUCGCAAGCUCAGAUACCACAAAUUUCAUCGAAGCUGAUCGUCAACAAGAAUCUCUCAAUUUUAGUUUGUCCAGUUUUUUUUGUGAGUUUUGAAUUCAGGGGAGGAACAUUUAGAGGCAGAAGUUGAUAUAUUUUCCUUCGAAUUGAUUGAAGCUUAUCUCGUUCAAGUUAGGACCCCUAUGCUUAGAUUCAGAGUUGCAAGAAUCAUUGGAAAAGCUUAAAAUUUUCCUUCUCUAACUUCAUGUAAGCAUAUUCAACACUGUUUUUAUGCUUCAAUACUUGUAAAAAAUGAUGAUCCCAAAUAAUUUCUUUU